RNAcentral lists this ribosomal RNA (253 nucleotides) under uncultured bacterium. Its description in RNAcentral is "partial 16S ribosomal RNA". It matches the Rfam family "Bacterial small subunit ribosomal RNA", at positions 524 to 776 of the family's 1533-position model. The record is from RNAcentral.
UACAGAGGGGGCAAGCGUUGUUCGGAAUUACUGGGCGUAAAGGGCGCGUAGGCGGCCUUCUAAGUCGAACGUGAAAUCCCCGGGCUUAACCCGGGAACUGCGUCCGAGACUGAAAGGCUCGAAUCCGGGAGAGGGAUGUGGAAUUCCAGGUGUAGCGGUGAAAUGCGUAGAUAUCUGGAGGAACAUCGGUGGCGAAGGCGGCAUCCUGGACCGGUAUUGACGCUGAGGCGCGAAAGCCAGGGGAGCAAACGGG